UACAGAGGUCUCAAGCGUUGUUCGGAUUCAUUGGGCGUAAAGGGUGCGUAGGCGGCGCGGUAAGUCGGGUGUGAAAUCUCGGGGCUUAACUCCGAAACUGCAUUCGAUACUGCCGUGCUUGAGGACUGGAGAGGAGACUGGAAUUUACGGUGUAGCGGUGAAAUGCGUAGAUAUCGUAAGGAAGACCAGUGGCGAAGGCGGGUCUCUGGACAGUUCCUGACGCUGAGGCACGAAGGUCAAGGGAGCAAACGGG
RNAcentral lists this ribosomal RNA (253 nucleotides) under uncultured bacterium. Its description in RNAcentral is "partial 16S ribosomal RNA". It matches the Rfam family "Bacterial small subunit ribosomal RNA", at positions 524 to 776 of the family's 1533-position model. The record is from RNAcentral.